CCUACGGGAGGCAGCAGUGGGGAAUAUUGGACAAUGGGGGGAACCCUGAUCCAGCCAUGCCGCGUGUGUGAAGAAGGCCCUCGGGUUGUAAAGCACUUUCAGCGAGGAAGAACGCCUAGCGGUUAAUACCCGCUAGGAAAGACAUCACUCGCAGAAGAAGCACCGGCUAACUCCGUGCCAGCAGCCGCGGUAAUACGGAGGGUGCAAGCGUUAAUCGGAAUUACUGGGCGUAAAGCGCGCAUAGGUGGCUUGAUAAGCCGGUUGUGAAAGCCCCGGGCUCAACCUGGGAACGGCAUCCGGAACUGUCAAGCUAGAGUGCAGGAGAGGAAGGUAGAAUUCCCGGUGUAGCGGUGAAAUGCGUAGAGAUCGGGAGGAAUACCAGUGGCGAAGGCGGCCUUCUGGACUGACACUGACACUGAGGUGCGAAAGCGUAGGUAGCAAACAGGAUUAGAUACCCUGGUAGUCCACGCCGUAAACGAUGUCGACCAGCCGUUGGGUGCCUAGCGCACUUUGUGGCGAAGUUAACGCGAUAAGUCGACCGCCUGGGGAGUACGGCCGCAAGGUUAAAACUCAAAUGAAUUGACGGA
This 587-nucleotide ribosomal RNA is filed under the name uncultured bacterium. RNAcentral's name for it is "bacterial SSU rRNA". It matches the Rfam family "Bacterial small subunit ribosomal RNA", at positions 338 to 917 of the family's 1533-position model. The record is from RNAcentral.